CAGCUUACCUCUCUCAUCAGCCUCAGACCUCGUUGUACCCUACAGCUACCUCCUAUGAGCCAGCAGUGUACCACCCUGUUAACAUCCAUGUGAACCCCUUUCAGCCUGAGGUUACACCACCAGCAGGGCCGAUACCUGCUCCAUGUCCAUCAGUCGGCCCAGGCGUUCUCUCCUCAGACUCUGAGCCGAGGUUUGAGACGAAAGGACUGGCCCUUUCC
Long non-coding RNA from Mugil cephalus (flathead mullet), 218 nucleotides. RefSeq lists it as uncharacterized. Lineage: Eukaryota; Metazoa; Chordata; Actinopteri; Mugiliformes; Mugilidae. The transcript is spliced from 3 exons. The record is from RefSeq and is a predicted model, not a curated record.